This is a regulatory RNA element of 49 nucleotides. It matches the Rfam family "L31-Actinobacteria ribosomal protein leader". The record is from Rfam.
CCGGCACCGGUUCACGCCCUCGUUCAGGGGACAGGGCGACCCGGCGGCC